GUACCUGCGGAGGGAUCAUUACCGAGUUAUACAACUCAUCAACCCUGUGAACAUACCUAAAACGUUGCCUCGGCGGGAACAGACGGCCCCGUAACACGGGCCGCCCCCGCCAGAGGACCCCCUAACUCUGUUUCUAUAAUGUUUCUUCUGAGUAAACAAGCAAAUAAAUUAAAACUUUCAACAACGGAUCUCUUGGCUCUGGCAUCGAUGAAGAACGCAGCGAAAUGCGAUAAGUAAUGUGAAUUGCAGAAUUCAGUGAAUCAUCGAAUCUUUGAACGCACAUUGCGCCCGCCAGUAUUCUGGCGGGCAUGCCUGUUCGAGCGUCAUUACAACCCUCAGGCCCCCGGGCCUGGCGUUGGGGAUCGGCGGAAGCCCCCUGCGGGCACAACGCCGUCCCCCAAAUACAGUGGCGGUCCCGCCGCAGCUUCCAUUGCGUAGUAGCUAACACCUCGCAACUGGAGAGCGGCGCGGCCACGCCGUAAAACACCCAACUUCUGAAUGUUGACCUCGAAUCAGGUAGGAAUACCCGCUGAACUUAAGCAUAU
Molecule: ribosomal RNA, 545 nt
Filed under: Fusarium falciforme
Lineage: Eukaryota; Fungi; Ascomycota; Sordariomycetes; Hypocreales; Nectriaceae
Description: eukaryotic LSU rRNA
Rfam family: 5.8S ribosomal RNA (bases 173-326)
Source: RNAcentral